RNAcentral lists this transfer RNA (72 nucleotides) under Ovis aries (sheep). It matches the Rfam family "tRNA". Rfam says of the family: Transfer RNA (tRNA) molecules are approximately 80 nucleotides in length. Their secondary structure includes four short double-helical elements and three loops (D, anti-codon, and T loops). Further hydrogen bonds mediate the characteristic L-shaped molecular structure. tRNAs have two regions of fundamental functional importance: the anti-codon, which is responsible for specific mRNA codon recognition, and the 3' end, to which the tRNAs corresponding amino acid is attached (by aminoacyl-tRNA synthetases). tRNAs cope with the degeneracy of the genetic code in two manners: having more than one tRNA (with a specific anti-codon) for a particular amino acid; and 'wobble' base-pairing, i.e. permitting non-standard base-pairing at the 3rd anti-codon position. Lineage: Eukaryota; Metazoa; Chordata; Mammalia; Artiodactyla; Bovidae. The record is from Rfam by way of RNAcentral.
UCCUUGGUGGCUUAGAUGGUAAGGCAUCCUCCUGCAAUGUGGGAGACCUGGGUUCAAUCCCUGGGUUGGGAA